GAUGAACGCUGGCGGCGUGCCUAAUACAUGCAAGUCGAGCGAACAGACGAGGAGCUUGCUCCUCUGACGUUAGCGGCGGACGGGUGAGUAACACGUGGAUAACCUACCUAUAAGACUGGGAUAACUUCGGGAAACCGGAGCUAAUACCGGAUAAUAUAUUGAACCGCAUGGUUCAAUAGUGAAAGACGGUUUUGCUGUCACUUAUAGAUGGAUCCGCGCCGCAUUAGCUAGUUGGUAAGGUAACGGCUUACCAAGGCAACGAUGCGUAGCCGACCUGAGAGGGUGAUCGGCCACACUGGAACUGAGACACGGUCCAGACUCCUACGGGAGGCAGCAGUAGGGAAUCUUCCGCAAUGGGCGAAAGCCUGACGGAGCAACGCCGCGUGAAUGAUGAUGGUCUUCGGAUCGUAAAACUCUGUUAUUAGGGAAGAACAAAUGUGUAAGUAACUAUGCACGUCUUGACGGUACCUAAUCAGAAAGCCACGGCUAACUACGUG
RNAcentral lists this ribosomal RNA (497 nucleotides) under uncultured bacterium. Its description in RNAcentral is "partial 16S ribosomal RNA". It matches the Rfam family "Bacterial small subunit ribosomal RNA", at positions 28 to 507 of the family's 1533-position model. The record is from RNAcentral.